Molecule: ribosomal RNA, 473 nt
Filed under: uncultured bacterium
Lineage: Bacteria
Description: bacterial SSU rRNA
Rfam family: Bacterial small subunit ribosomal RNA
Source: RNAcentral
ACUCCUACGGGAGGCAGCAGUGGGGAAUAUUGCACAAUGGGCGCAAGCCUGAUGCAGCCAUGCCGCGUGUGUGAAGAAGGCCUUCGGGUUGUAAAGCACUUUCAGCAGUGAGGAAGGCGGAGUCGUUAAUAGCGGCCUCGUUUGACGUUAGCUGCAGAAGAAGCACCGGCUAACUCCGUGCCAGCAGCCGCGGUAAUACGGAGGGUGCGAGCGUUAAUCGGAAUUACUGGGCGUAAAGCGCAUGCAGGUGGUUUGUUAAGUCAGAUGUGAAAGCCCGGGGCUCAACCUCGGAAUAGCAUUUGAAACUGGCAGACUAGAGUACUGUAGAGGGGGGUAGAAUUUCAGGUGUAGCGGUGAAAUGCGUAGAGAUCUGAAGGAAUACCGGUGGCGAAGGCGGCCCCCUGGACAGAUACUGACACUCAGAUGCGAAAGCGUGGGGAGCAAACAGGAUUAGAUACCCUGGUAGGAUAGCG